GGGGAAAGGAAUCAAUUUCUCAAUGUAAAUUGUGAUUUGCACACUUCCCCUCCUCACCUAUUUUGAAUUGAUUUGAUUCUAGUAGGACUAAGACAUGUGAAAAACACUGUUUUGCUUGAUUUAAUAAACACUUGGAAAAUGGCUUGUUGGAUAUGCCCUAAACCAAAAGGUAGCAAAUCAGAAAGAAUUCAUUUUUCUUUCCUUUGUCAAUGCCUUUCUUAGUGUUUAUCACUCUACUCUUAAAAUUAAGGUAAGAAGGAGUUCUCAGGACAAGAGGAAGUUAACAUCGCUACAUAUGGUAUAUAAUAACCUAUUUUCAUGAAGCACUCUUAAAGUUUAGUUUAUUAAAAUUGCAUGAUAAUGUUGAAAUUGAUAGAACUCAAGACCAAAAUUUAGAUAGGCCCAAAGACAGGAGUAAAGCAGGAUGGUAUUUGCAAAUAGUCUCUGUAUGAGAGCUACUGCACGAGUUUCCCAAGAAAGAAAGUAAUGAUUCAUGUGGUUUUAUUAAAGAAAUAACGAAAGAUAAUGGAGUGAACUUUUUGUCACAUACUUUGUGAUAGGUACUCUGGGUAAGCAUUUCACUUAUAUCGAAUCUAAUACUCCAAAGCAAUCAGUAUGUUUAUUCCAGGACAAGGAGUAUGAGACAAAUGGUUCUAUUAUCUUGAGCAACUUUCUGCUCAUCAAGAUUAGAACAUAGUCAAAAUCUCUCAGAUAACCAUCUGAUAAUCAUCCAUUGGAAGUCCUACUUUCUGUCUUCGCAGAAAUAGAUUUGUCAGUGAUUCUGCAUCACUAUAACUCUUAGAUACAUCUUCCUCCCUUAGGCUAACCCCACAUGCAGUGGAAGAUAUUCACAGGAGGAACAAGUCUGAAUGCUGACCAGAAAAUUUGCCAUACUGGAAGUUUCCGAGAUUGAAGAAGAAGGGAGAGAGGACUACAGGCAUCGCAGCCUUUCUCUCCAGCCAUCCAGCCUACUGACCAUCAAUUAUUCUAUGCCUUCAGGCCGACUCACCUGUUGAACUCAGCUUAAAAGGUAUCCCCCAUUGAAAUGCAUCAAAACUCUACUUAAAGUAUGUCUUCUGCAUUUAACAUUUUCUCUAUUUAAUUAUACUACCUUUCAUUUAAAGAUAUAUUCUGUGCCUUGCAUUUUGAAAUACUAAGUUGUUAUUUACUAUUUCA
This 1176-nucleotide long non-coding RNA is filed under the name Callithrix jacchus (white-tufted-ear marmoset). Its description in RNAcentral is "lncRNA (ENSCJAG00000082091.1)". Lineage: Eukaryota; Metazoa; Chordata; Mammalia; Primates; Cebidae. The record is from RNAcentral.